AGAGAGAGACAUGCGCGCAUAUCAAUAAGCGGAGGAAAAGAAACUAACUAGGAUUCCCUCAGUAACGGCGAGUGAAGCGGGAAGAGCUCAAAUUUGAAAUCUUCAAGGUUCUACCUUGACGAAUUGUAGUUUAAAGAAGUGUUUUCUGUUGGAGUUUUUGGUAAAAGUUCUUUGGAAUAGGACAUCAUAGAGGGUGAGAAUCCCGUAUUUGACCAUUAUUUCCAGCUUUGUGAUACACUUUCAAAGAGUCGGAUUGUUUGGGAAUGCAGUCCAAAAUGGGUGGUAAAUUUCAUCUAAAGCUAAAUAUUGGCGAGAGACCGAUAGCGAACAAGUACCGUGAGGGAAAGAUGAAAAGAACUUUGAAAAGAGAGUUAAACAGUACGUGAAAUUGUCAAAAGGGAAGCGUUUGACACCAGUGUUGUUUUUCUGAAAAUCAAUUAAAAAAGGCAGGAUUUUGUGUUGUAUUGACUUUAUCAGCUUUCUGCACCUCUUUUCUUGUCCUUUUUAAUGCACUUUUCGUUUAACAAGUCAACAUCAAUUUCUUUUGUUGUAAAAGGGUCAUUGGAAGGUGGCUUUCUUUUCGGAGAAAGUGUUUAUAGCCUUUGGCCUCUGCAAUCGGAGAGAUUGAGGUCUGCAGCGUAGAUCCUUCGGGGUUAGAUACAUUUGUGCUAAGUUAUAGCCUUUCAUAGACAACUUGUUGACUAUGAUCAGUCAUGUAGCUUACUCGCUUAUGCCUAUUUUACCUACGCUUAGGAUGUUGAUGUGAUACUGCGAGCA
This 777-nucleotide ribosomal RNA is filed under the name uncultured Neocallimastigales. Its description in RNAcentral is "partial large subunit ribosomal RNA". It matches the Rfam family "Eukaryotic large subunit ribosomal RNA", at positions 23 to 646 of the family's 3401-position model. The record is from RNAcentral. Lineage: Eukaryota; Fungi; Neocallimastigomycota; Neocallimastigomycetes; Neocallimastigales.